Molecule: ribosomal RNA, 460 nt
Filed under: uncultured bacterium
Lineage: Bacteria
Description: partial 16S ribosomal RNA
Rfam family: Bacterial small subunit ribosomal RNA
Source: RNAcentral
CCUACGGGCGACAGCAGUGAGGAAUAUUGGUCAAUGGGCGUAAGCCUGAACCAGCCAAGUCGCGUGAGGGAUGAAGGUUCUAUGGAUCGUAACCCUCUUUUAUAAGGGAAUAAAGUGUGGGACGUGUCCUAUUUUGUAUGUACCUUAUGAAUAAGGAUCGGCUAACUCCGUGCCAGCAGCCGCGGUAAUACGGGGGGUGCAAGCGUUGUCCGGAAUCAUUGGGCGUAAAGCGUUCGUAGGCGGUAUGUCAAGUCUGAUGUUAAAGCCCGGGGCUCAACUCCGGUUCGGCAUUGGAUACUGGCAAACUAGAAUGUGGUAGAGGUAAAGGGAAUUCCUGGUGUAGCGGUGAAAUGCGUAGAUAGCAGGAGGAACAUCGGUGGCGAAAGCGCUUUACCGGACCAUUAUUGACGCUGAGGAACGAAAGCCAGGGGAGCAAAUGGGAUUAGAUACCCCAGUAGUC